UACGUAGGGGGCAAGCGUUGUCCGGAAUCAUUGGGCGUAAAGAGCGUGUAGGCGGCCCGAUAAGUCCGCUGUGAAAGUCCAGGGCUCAACCCUGGAAUGCCAGUGGAAACUGUCGGGCUGGAGUCCGGAAGAGGCGAGUGGAAUUCCUGGUGUAGCGGUGAAAUGCGCAGAUAUCAGGAGGAACACCAAUGGCGAAGGCAGCUCGCUGGGACGGUACUGACGCUGAGACGCGAAAGCGUGGGGAGCGAACAGG
RNAcentral lists this ribosomal RNA (253 nucleotides) under uncultured bacterium. Its description in RNAcentral is "partial 16S ribosomal RNA". It matches the Rfam family "Bacterial small subunit ribosomal RNA", at positions 524 to 776 of the family's 1533-position model. The record is from RNAcentral.